ACGAACGCUGGCGGCGUGCUUCACACCUGCCAGUCGCACGGAAAGGCCCUGCUUUUGUGGGGUGCUCGAGUGGCGAACGGGGGAGUAACACGUGAGUAACCUGCCCUUGACUUUGGGAUAACUUCAGGAAACUGGGGCUAAUACCGGAUAGGAGCUCCUGCUGCAUGGUGGGGGUUGGAAAGUUUCGGCGGUUGGGGAUGGACUCGCGGCUUAUCAGCUUGUUGGUGGGGUAGUGGCUUACCAAGGCUUUGACGGGUAGCCGGCCUGAGAGGGUGACCGGCCACAUUGGGACUGAGAUACGGCCCAGACUCCUACGGGAGGCAGCAGUGGGGAAUAUUGCACAAUGGGCGGAAGCCUGAUGCAGCAACGCCGCGUGCGGGAUGACGGCCUUCGGGUUGUAAACCGCUUUCGCCUGUGACGAAGCGUGAGUGACGGUAAUGGGUAAAGAAGCACCGGCUAACUACGUG
This 467-nucleotide ribosomal RNA is filed under the name uncultured bacterium. RNAcentral describes it as "partial 16S ribosomal RNA". It matches the Rfam family "Bacterial small subunit ribosomal RNA", at positions 29 to 507 of the family's 1533-position model. The record is from RNAcentral.